Molecule: transfer RNA, 68 nt
Filed under: Ixodes scapularis (black-legged tick)
Lineage: Eukaryota; Metazoa; Arthropoda; Arachnida; Ixodida; Ixodidae
Description: tRNA-Thr
Source: RNAcentral
CCCUGGAGCAUUGGUAGAGCGCUCCACCUGUAAUGGAGAGGUCCCGGGUUCGAUACCCGGACCAGGCG